Molecule: ribosomal RNA, 2457 nt
Filed under: Triticum aestivum (bread wheat)
Lineage: Eukaryota; Viridiplantae; Streptophyta; Magnoliopsida; Poales; Poaceae
Description: partial small subunit ribosomal RNA
Source: RNAcentral
AUGGACCUGCGCCGCAAGGAUCGGCGCGAGGCGCGCCUCAAGCAGGAGAUUGAGAAGUACCGUGCGUCCAACCCCAAGAUCACCGAGCAGUUUGCUGAUCUCAAGAGGAAACUGGCAGAUGUGUCAGUGCAGGAGUGGGAAAGCAUACCUGAAAUUGGGGACUACUCGGCUCGCAACAAGAAGAAGCGUUUCGAGAGCUUUGUCCCGGUGCCGGACACUCUGCUUGAGAAGGCCCGGCAGGAGCAGGAGCAUGUCACAGCGCUGGACCCCAAGAGCCGUGCGGCCGGUGGCACCGAGACACCGUGGGCGCAAACUCCGGUUACCGACCUGACUGCAGUGGGUGAGGGUCGUGGUACCGUGCUUUCGCUGAAGUUGGACAGGUUAUCGGAUUCAGUUUCUGGGCUUACUGUUGUUGAUCCAAAGGGAUACCUUACAGACUUGAAAAGCAUGAAAAUUACUAGCGACGCUGAGAUCUCUGACAUUAAGAAGGCAAGACUGCUGCUCAGGUCUGUGACGCAGACAAACCCAAAGCAUCCUCCAGGUUGGAUUGCUGCUGCUAGGCUUGAAGAGGUUGCUGGCAAGCUCCAGUCUGCUCGGCAGCUCAUUCAGAGGGGCUGUGAGGAGUGCCCCAAGAACGAGGAUGUUUGGUUCGAGGCAUGCCGGUUGGCUAGCCCAGACGAGUCAAAGGCAGUAAUUGCCAGGGGUGUGAAGGCAAUUCCCAACUCUGUGAAGCUGUGGCUGCAGGCUGCAAAACUAGAGACUAGUGAUUUGAACAAGAGCAGGGUUUUAAGGAAGGGAUUGGAGCACAUUCCUGAUUCAGUUAGGCUGUGGAAGGCUGUUGUGGAGCUGGCGAACGAGGAGGAUGCACGGAUGUUGCUUCACAGGGCUGUGGAGUGCUGCCCACUUCAUGUUGAGCUGUGGCUUGCCCUAGCAAGGCUCGAGACAUAUGACCAGGCAAAGAAGGUACUUAACAAGGCCAGGGAGAAGCUCAACAAGGAACCUGCCAUAUGGAUUACAGCUGCAAAGCUGGAGGAGGCUAAUGGGAACACCCAAUCCGUAAGCAAGGUGAUUGAGAGAGGUAUAAGAUCUUUGCAGAGAGAAGGGUUAGAUAUUGAUAGGGAGGCGUGGCUAAAGGAAGCCGAAGCUGCAGAGCGUGCUGGAUCUGUGCUUACUUGCCAGGCUAUUGUCAAGAGCACUAUUGGAGUUGGGGUUGAUGAUGAGGACCGGAAGCGAACAUGGGUUGCUGAUGCUGAGGAAUGCAAGAAACGUGGUUCAAUUGAGACAGCUCGGGCCAUCUAUGCACAUGCUCUUAGUGUGUUUGUUGCCAAAAAGAGUAUAUGGCUUAAAGCGGCGCAGCUUGAGAAGAGCCAUGGGACAAGAGAAUCUCUUGAAGCCAUUCUCAGAAAGGCUGUCACGUACAAUCCAAAAGCUGAAGUGUUAUGGCUUAUGGGUGCAAAGGAGAAAUGGCUGGCUGGUGAUGUCCCUGCAGCUCGGGCCAUCCUUCAGGAAGCUUAUGCUGCUAUCCCUAUUUCAGAGGAGAUCUGGUUAGCUGCAUUCAAGUUAGAGUUCGAGAACAAUGAACCGGAGAGAGCAAGAAUGCUUUUGACCAAGGCCAGGGAAAGAGGAGGCACCGAGAGGGUUUGGAUGAAAUCGGCAAUUGUUGAGAGGGAAUUAGGAAAUGUGAAUGAGGAAAGGAGGCUGUUGGAGGAAGGUCUGAAGUUAUUCCCCUCAUUUUUCAAAUUGUGGUUAAUGCUUGGACAGAUGGAAGACCGGAUUGGCCAUGUAGGGAAGGCAAAGGAGGUUUAUGAGAAUGGACUCAAACACUGCCCUGGUUGCAUCCAUCUUUGGCUCUCGCUAGCUAGUCUAGAGGAGAGGAUAAACGGCUUGAGUAAGUCGCGCGCUUUCCUCACCAUGGCAAGGAAAAAGAAUCCAGCUACACCUGAACUAUGGCUUGCAGCAAUUCGAGCUGAAUUGAGGCACGGGAACAAAAAGGAAGCUGAUUCUCUACUAGCCAAGGCAUUACAAGAGUGUCCAACAAGUGGCAUUUUGUGGGCUGCAGCUAUUGAGAUGGUGCCACGUCCCCAACGCAAAUCAAAGAGCUCAGAUGCUAUAAAGCGAUGUGAUCAUGAUCCACAUGUCAUUGCAGCUGUCGCCAAACUUUUCUGGCAUGACAGGAAGGUUGAUAAAGCAAGGAGUUGGUUGAACAGAGCUGUUACUCUUGCUCCUGACAUUGGGGAUUUUUGGGCAUUGUACUACAAAUUUGAACUCCAGCACGGAAAUGCGGACACACAAAGGGAUGUUCUGAAACGAUGCAUUGCAGCUGAACCAAAACAUGGCGAGAGAUGGCAAGCUAUAAGCAAGGCUGUUGAGAACUCACAUCAGCCAGUUGAUGCCAUCCUGAGGAAAGUCGUUCUGGCUCUUGGUGCAGAAGAAAAUCCCAAUGCUGCAGAACCUUAG